Molecule: ribosomal RNA, 435 nt
Filed under: uncultured Roseburia sp.
Lineage: Bacteria; Bacillati; Bacillota; Clostridia; Lachnospirales; Lachnospiraceae
Description: partial 16S ribosomal RNA
Rfam family: Bacterial small subunit ribosomal RNA
Source: RNAcentral
ACGGAAGGCAGCAGUGGGGAAUAUUGCACAAUGGGCGAAAGCCUGAUGCAGCGACGCCGCGUGAGUGAAGAAGUAUUUCGGUAUGUAAAGCUCUAUCAGCAGGGAAGAAAAAUGACGGUACCUGACUAAGAAGCACCGGCUAAAUACGUGCCAGCAGCCGCGGUAAUACGUAUGGUGCAAGCGUUAUCCGGAUUUACUGGGUGUAAAGGGAGCGCAGGCGGUACGGCAAGUCUGAUGUGAAAGCCCGGGGCUCAACCCCGGUACUGCAUUGGAAACUGUCGAACUAGAGUGUCGGAGGGGUAAGCGGAAUUCCUAGUGUAGCGGUGAAAUGCGCAGAUAUUAGGAGGAACACCAGUGGCGAAGGCGGCUUACUGGACGAUAACUGACGCUGAGGCUCGAAAGCGUGGGGAGCAAACAGGAUUAGAUACCCUGGUA